Molecule: long non-coding RNA, 1727 nt
Organism: Oncorhynchus kisutch (coho salmon)
Lineage: Eukaryota; Metazoa; Chordata; Actinopteri; Salmoniformes; Salmonidae
Exons: 2
Source: RefSeq, a predicted model, not a curated record
ACCUCUCUCCAUAGAGAACACCACCUCUCUCCACAGAGAACACCAUCUCCCUCUACAGAGAACACCACCUCUCUCUACAGAGAACACCACCUCUCUCUUCAGCCCUCUACUCUGACCUCCCCUCAUUUUAUUCAGUGGCAGAUAUGAGAUGAAGAUUCAGAAGAACCAAGUGGUGUUCUUCAAGCACUUUGGGAUUGUACGCCAUGAUGCAGUGAAGACAGACAUCAAGGCUGUGAGAGAUAGUCCAGCAUGGAAAUGAGUUCCUUCCCUCUAGGGCCUGGACCCUGUCUGUUCGCUUAUCCUUCUCGUGCGUUCCAGCACACCACAACCCCUGGAAAGAAUGGUGUGACCAUGAAGAAAAUCAGUAAGAGGUUCCAGAAAUGACCUUCCAGUGUUCCACCUCCCCCAAAAGGAGCUUCUGGCUCGAGAGGUCUAUAAUGUAUCCUUACAGCCACUAGAGGGAGACAGCCUGACACUGGUCCACCUCCCCCAGAAGGAGCUUCUGGCUCGAGAGGUCUAUAAUGUAUCCUUACAGCCACUAGAGGGAGACAGCCUGACACUGUUCCACCUCCCCCAGAAGGAGCUUCUGGCUUGAGAGGUCUAUAAUGUAUCCUUACAGCCACUAGAGGGAGACAGCCUGACACUGUUCCACCUCCCCCAGAAGGAGCGUCUGGCUCGAGAGGUCUAUAAUGUAUCCUUACAGCCACUAGAGGGAGACAGCCUGACACUGUUCCACCUCCCCCAGAAGGAGCUUCUGGUUUGAGAGGUCUAUAAUGUAUCCUUACAGCCGCUAGAGGGAGACAGCCUGACACUGUUCCACCUCCCCCAGAAGGAGCUUCUGGUUUGAGAGGUCUAUAAUGUAUCCUUACAGCCACUAGAGGGAGACAGCCUGACACUGGUCCACCUCCCCCAGAAGGAGCUUCUGGCUCGAGAGGUCUAUAAUGUAUCCUUACAGCCACUAGAGGGAGACAGCCUGACACUGUUCCACCUCCCCCAGAAGGAGCUUCUGGCUCGAGAGGUCUAUAAUGUAUCCUUACAGCCACUAGAGGGAGACAGCCUGACACUGUUCCUUUACAGCUGAGAUCAUUUACUUUGCUGGAAUUUUCACAAGAAUGUGGUACAUUUUCACAUCUCUUAAGCACAAAAAUAUAAACAGAUCAUCAAAAUGGCUCAUGUUUCAGAACUACACAUAUUUUUAAUUGGCUGAGUACAACAAACAUACUCACAGUCUUUUGUUCACUGCACCAAUUCACUCUUUCAAUUUGGAUACAUGUUCAAUCUUUGUAUCUGCUUUUCAAAAUGCAAUAUUCACUUCAAUUUUGCUAUCAUUUUCUUGUCAUUUGUUAACAAUACAAAUAACUAUCAUUUAAUGAAACUGCUCAAUACUGAUAACUACAGAAACACAAUCAUGUCUAGAUAAUGUAUAUAUUUUUUCAGAUCUCCUGAACGCUCUAAAUGUCUAUAUUUCUACCUCAAAUGUAUCAAUUUGACAUCUACUGUAUAAGGAUAAUGAAACUGUUUGAUUGAAAUAUUUGUCAACAUGCUCACAAUCUGCCAUUGAAUAGAAUAUUUACAGAAAAUGGUGCCUGUCAUGUUAUAGUCAAACACUGUAUGGAAAAGGAUAUUUACAAUCUACCAUUUGUUCUAUUCAGCACUUCAAAAAGAACACUUUUGAAAUGUUUAUUAUGUAUUUUUUGCUAUUGGAUUAAAUGGUAGUUCAAAUGAAA